Molecule: ribosomal RNA, 568 nt
Filed under: uncultured bacterium
Lineage: Bacteria
Description: bacterial SSU rRNA
Rfam family: Bacterial small subunit ribosomal RNA
Source: RNAcentral
CCUACGGGAGGCAGCAGUGGGGAAUAUUGCGCAAUGGGCGAAAGCCUGACGCAGCAACGCCGCGUGGGGGAUGAAGGCCUUCGGGUUGUAAACCUCUUUCAGCAGGGAAGAAGCGAAAGUGACGGUACCUGCAGAAGAAGCACCGGCUAACUACGUGCCAGCAGCCGCGGUAAUACGUAGGGUGCAAGCGUUGUCCGGAUUUAUUGGGCGUAAAGAGCUCGUAGGCGGUUAGUCACGUCGGAUGUGAAAUCCCGGAGCUUAACUCCGGGCCUGCAUUCGAUACGGGCUGACUCGAGUGUUGUAGGGGAGACUGGAACUCCUGGUGUAGCGGUGAAAUGCGCAGAUAUCAGGAAGAACACCGGUGGCGAAGGCGGGUCUCUGGGCAACUACUGACGCUGAGGAGCGAAAGCGUGGGGAGCAAACAGGAUUAGAUACCCUGGUAGUCCACGCCGUAAACGGUGGGCGCUAGGUGUGGGGAACAUUCCACGUUCUCUGCGCCGCAGCUAACGCAUUAAGCGCCCCGCCUGGGGAGUACGGCCGCAAGGCUAAAACUCAAAUGAAUUGACGG